Molecule: ribosomal RNA, 561 nt
Filed under: uncultured sediment bacterium
Lineage: Bacteria
Description: bacterial SSU rRNA
Rfam family: Bacterial small subunit ribosomal RNA
Source: RNAcentral
AGAGUUUGAUCCUGGCUCAGGAUGAACGCUAGCGGCAGGCCUAACACAUGCAAGUCGAGGGGUAACGAUUUCGAGCAAUCGAAAGGCGACGACCGGCGCACGGGUGAGUAACGCGUAUGCAACCUGCCUCUGACUGGGGAAUAGCUUCCGGAAACGGAAAUUAAUACCCCAUAACAUUGCGAAGCCGCAUGGUUUUGCAAUUAAAGCUCCGGCGGUCAGAGAUGGGCAUGCGUGACAUUAGUUUGUUGGUGAGGUAACGGCUCACCAAGACUACGAUGUCUAGGGGGUCUGAGAGGAUGGUCCCCCACACUGGUACUGAGACACGGACCAGACUCCUACGGGAGGCAGCAGUGAGGAAUAUUGGGCAAUGGACGCAAGUCUGACCCAGCCAUGCCGCGUGCAGGAUGACGGCCCUAUGGGUUGUAAACUGCUUUUAUUUGGGAAGAAACCCCCCGACGUGUCGGGGGCUGACGGUACCAAAAGAAUAAGCAUCGGCUAACUCCGUGCCAGCAGCCGCGGUAAUACGGAGGAUGCAAGCGUUAUCCGGAUUUAUUGGGUUUA